CUACGGAGGGUGCAAGCGUUGUUCGGAAUCACUGGGCGUAAAGGGCGCGCAGGCGGUUUGGUAAGUCAGAUGUGAAAGCCCAUGGCUCAACCAUGGAAGUGCAUUUGAAACUGUCAGACUUGAGUACUAGAGGGGAAAGUGGAAUUCCCGGUGUAGAGGUGAAAUUCGUAGAUAUCGGGAGGAAUACCGGUGGCGAAGGCGACUUUCUGGCUAGAUACUGACGCUGAGGCGCGAAAGCGUGGGGAGCAAGCAGGAUUAGAAACCCUAGUAGUCC
This 274-nucleotide ribosomal RNA is filed under the name uncultured bacterium. RNAcentral describes it as "partial 16S ribosomal RNA". It matches the Rfam family "Bacterial small subunit ribosomal RNA", at positions 523 to 796 of the family's 1533-position model. The record is from RNAcentral.